Molecule: ribosomal RNA, 450 nt
Filed under: uncultured bacterium
Lineage: Bacteria
Description: partial 16S ribosomal RNA
Rfam family: Bacterial small subunit ribosomal RNA
Source: RNAcentral
GUGGGGAAUUUUGGACAAUGGGCGCAAGCCUGAUCCAGCAAUGCCGCGUGCAGGAAGAAGGCCUUCGGGUUGUAAACUGCUUUUGUACGGAACGAAACGGUCCGGGUUAAUACCCUGGGCUAAUGACGGUACCGUAAGAAUAAGCACCGGCUAACUACGUGCCAGCAGCCGCGGUAAUACGUAGGGUGCAAGCGUUAAUCGGAAUUACUGGGCGUAAAGCGUGCGCAGGCGGUUUUGUAAGACAGGCGUGAAAUCCCCGGGCUCAACCUGGGAAUUGCGCUUGUGACUGCAAGGGUGGAGUGCGGCAGAGGGGGAUGGAAUUCCGCGUGUAGCAGUGAAAUGCGUAGAUAUGCGGAGGAACACCGAUGGCGAAGGCAAUCCCCUGGGCCUGCACUGACGCUCAUGCACGAAAGCGUGGGGAGCAAACAGGAUUAGAUACCCUUGUAGUCC